GAUCCUGGCUCAGAUUGAACGCUGGCGGAAUGCUUUACACAUGCAAGUCGAGCGGCAGCGCGGGGCAACCUGGCGGCGAGCGGCGAACGGGUGAGUAAUGCAUCGGAACAUGUCCAUGUCGUGGGGAUAGCCCGGCGAAAGCCGGAUUAAUACCGCAUACGCCCGAGAGGGGAAAGCAGGGGACCGCAAGGCCUUGCGCGAUUGGGUUGGCCGAUGUCCGAUUAGCUUGUUGGUGAGGUAAAGGCUUACCAAGGCGAUGAUCGGUAGCUGGUCUGAGAGGAUGAUCAGCCACACUGGGACUGAGACACGGUCCAGACUCCUACGGGAGGCAGCAGUGGGGAAUUUUGGACAAUGGGGGGCAACCCUGAUCCAGCCAUUCCGCGUGAGUGAAGAAGGCCUUCGGGUUGUAAAGCUCCUUUGUCCGGAGCGAAACGGGCGGCCCUAAUACGGUCGUCUACUGACGGUACCGGAAGAAUAAGCACCGGCUAACUACGUG
This 496-nucleotide ribosomal RNA is filed under the name uncultured bacterium. RNAcentral's name for it is "bacterial SSU rRNA". It matches the Rfam family "Bacterial small subunit ribosomal RNA", at positions 15 to 507 of the family's 1533-position model. The record is from RNAcentral.